AGAGUUUGAUCCUGGCUCAGAUUGAACGCUGGCGGCAGGCCUAACACAUGCAAGUCGAACGGUAACAGGAAGAAGCUUGCUUCUUUGCCGACGAGUGGCGGACGGGUGAGUAAUGUCUGGGAAACUGCCUGAUGGAGGGGGAUAACUACUGGAAACGGUAGCUAAUACCGCAUAACGUCGCAAGACCAAAGAGGGGGACCUUCGGGCCUCUUGCCAUCGGAUGUGCCCAGAUGGGAUUAGCUUGUUGGUGGGGUAACGGCUCACCAAGGCGACGAUCCCUAGCUGGUCUGAGAGGAUGACCAGCCACACUGGAACUGAGACACGGUCCAGACUCCUACGGGAGGCAGCAGUGGGGAAUAUUGCACAAUGGGCGCAAGCCUGAUGCAGCCAUGCCGCGUGUAUGAAGAAGGCCUUCGGGUUGUAAAGUACUUUCAGCGGGGAGGAAGGGAGUAAAGUUAAUACCUUUGCUCAUUGACGUUACCCGCAGAAGAAGCACCGGCUAACUCCGUGCCAGCAGCCGCGGUAAUACGGAGGGUGCAAGCGUUAAUCGGAAUUACUGGGCGUAAAGCGCACGCAGGCGGUUUGUUAAGUCAGAUGUGAAAUCCCCGGGCUCAACCUGGGAACUGCAUCUGAUACUGGCAAGCUUGAGUCUCGUAGAGGGGGGUAGAAUUCCAGGUGUAGCGGUGAAAUGCGUAGAGAUCUGGAGGAAUACCGGUGGCGAAGGCGGCCCCCUGGACGAAGACUGACGCUCAGGUGCGAAAGCGUGGGGAGCAAACAGGAUUAGAUACCCUGGUAGUCCACGCCGUAAACGAUGUCGACUUGGAGGUUGUGCCCUUGAGGCGUGGCUUCCGGAGCUAACGCGUUAAGUCGACCGCCUGGGGAGUACGGCCGCAAGGUUAAAACUCAAAUGAAUUGACGGGGGCCCGCACAAGCGGUGGAGCAUGUGGUUUAAUUCGAUGCAACGCGAAGAACCUUACCUGUCUUGACAUCCACAGAACCUUGUAGAGAUACGAGGGUGCCUUCGGGAACUGUGAGACAGGUGCUGCAUGGCUGUCGUCAGCUCGUGUUGUGAAAUGUUGGGUUAAGUCCCGCAACGAGCGCAACCCUUAUCCUUUGUUGCCAGCGGUCCGGCCGGGAACUCAAAGGAGACUGCCAGUGAUAAACUGGAGGAAGGUGGGGAUGACGUCAAGUCAUCGUGGCCCUUACGACCAGGGCUACACACGUGCUACAAUGGCGCAUACAAAGAGAAGCGACCUCGCGAGAGCAAGCGGACCUCAUAAAGUGCGUCGUAGUCCGGAUUGGAGUCUGCAACUCGACUCCAUGAAGUCGGAAUCGCUAGUAAUCGUGGAUCAGAAUGCCACGGUGAAUACGUUCCCGGGCCUUGCACACACCGCACGUCA
Molecule: ribosomal RNA, 1400 nt
Filed under: uncultured bacterium
Lineage: Bacteria
Description: bacterial SSU rRNA
Rfam family: Bacterial small subunit ribosomal RNA
Source: RNAcentral